This 254-nucleotide ribosomal RNA is filed under the name uncultured bacterium. Its description in RNAcentral is "partial 16S ribosomal RNA". It matches the Rfam family "Bacterial small subunit ribosomal RNA", at positions 524 to 776 of the family's 1533-position model. The record is from RNAcentral.
GACGUAGGGCGCAAGCGUUGUCCGGAUUUAUUGGGCGUAAAGAGCUCGUAGGCGGCUUGUUGCGUCGACCGUGAAAACCCGUGGCUCAACUGCGGGCUUGCGGUCGAUACGGGCGGGCUAGAGUUCGGUAGGGGAGACUGGAAUUCCUGGUGUAGCGGUGAAAUGCGCAGAUAUCAGGAAGAACACCCGUGGCGAAGGCGGCUCUCUGGGACGGUACUGACGCUGAGACGCGAAAAGCGUGGGGAGCGAACAGG